ACUCUCCCAGGGGAGUGUAACACUCUCCCAGGGAGUGUAACACUCUCCCAGGGAGUGUAACACUCUCCCAGGGGAGUGUAACACUCUCCCAGGGAGUGUAACACUCUCCCAGGGAGUGUAACACUC
This 126-nucleotide small nucleolar RNA is filed under the name Procambarus clarkii (red swamp crayfish). RNAcentral's name for it is "small nucleolar RNA SNORA64/SNORA10 family". The stretch from base 1 to 106 matches the Rfam family "Small nucleolar RNA SNORA64/SNORA10 family". From Rfam's summary of the family: This family belongs to the H/ACA class of small nucleolar RNAs (snoRNAs) which act as guides in the the modification of uridines to pseudouridines. This family includes the human snoRNAs U64 and ACA10 and mouse MBI-29. Lineage: Eukaryota; Metazoa; Arthropoda; Malacostraca; Decapoda; Cambaridae. The record is from RNAcentral.